CGUUUUAAUUCCAUUAUAAACGUACCGGAAAGAGCAACGAGAUCAGAAGGUCGGUCAAGUCCGACUUUUUUGAAGCUAUCCUUAAGUUCUUUUAGGGUAAAGAAUGGAGCUGGAAGGUUAUCGUUAGCAAGAUCCAUAAACGCCCUUAAACUGUCUCUUCUUCCAUUUGGAACCGUCCAUGAAGGACCUCCCGCC
This is a non-coding RNA of Camelina sativa (false flax), 195 nucleotides long. The record is from RefSeq and is a predicted model, not a curated record. NCBI's taxonomy places the organism in Eukaryota, Viridiplantae, Streptophyta, Magnoliopsida, Brassicales, Brassicaceae.